Molecule: ribosomal RNA, 497 nt
Filed under: uncultured bacterium
Lineage: Bacteria
Description: partial 16S ribosomal RNA
Rfam family: Bacterial small subunit ribosomal RNA
Source: RNAcentral
GAUGAACGCUGGCGGCGUGCCUAAUACAUGCAAGUCGAGCGAACGGACGAGAAGCUUGCUUCUCUGAUGUUAGCGGCGGACGGGUGAGUAACACGUGGAUAACCUACCUAUAAGACUGGGAUAACUUCGGGAAACCGGAGCUAAUACCGGAUAAUAUUUUGAACCGCAUGGUUCAAAAGUGAAAGACGGUCUUGCUGUCACUUAUAGAUGGAUCCGCGCUGCAUUAGCUAGUUGGUAGGGUAACGGCCUACCAAGGCAACGAUGCAUAGCCGACCUGAGAGGGUGAUCGGCCACACUGGAACUGAGACACGGUCCAGACUCCUACGGGAGGCAGCAGUAGGGAAUCUUCCGCAAUGGGCGAAAGCCUGACGGAGCAGCGCCGCGUGAGUGAUGAAGGUCUUCGGAUCGUAAAACUCUGUUAUUAGGGAAGAACAUAUGUGUAAGUAACUGUGCACAUCUUGACGGUACCUAAUCAGAAAGCCACGGCUAACUACGUG